This 735-nucleotide long non-coding RNA is filed under the name Vulpes vulpes (red fox). RNAcentral describes it as "lncRNA (ENSVVUG00000019280.1)". The record is from RNAcentral. Lineage: Eukaryota; Metazoa; Chordata; Mammalia; Carnivora; Canidae.
AUGAGCGCCUGCGGGCCGGCGGGACGCGGGCGGUCUCCCUGGCGACCAGGGCGCGGCCCCGCCCCCGCCCGAGCCUCCCGCGCGGCCGAGCGCAGGCUCCAGAGGCGGCCGCGGGGUGUGCGCGCCGCCAGCGAUGGGCAAGUGGAGCCUGGCGCGGAAGCCCGGCCGCACGCUCGGGGUCCUGCUGCUGCUGCUCCUGGGCUUGCUGGUGCUCCGCAGGUUGGACUGGUAUCAUCUGGUCCCCGUGUGGCUGAGAAACCGGCAGUCAGGGCUGCAGGCCAACGGCCCGCGCUUCACAUUGGAGGACUCCACUUUCUGGAUCUUGGGGGGCUCCGUGCACUACUUCCGGGUGCCCCGGGAAUACUGGAGGGACCGCUUGCUGAAGCUGAAGGCCUGUGGCCUGAACACCCUCACCACUUACGUUCCAUGGAACCUGCACGAGCCAGAAAGAGGCAAAUUCGACUUCUCCGGGAACCUGGACAUGGAGUAAGUGCUCUUGCUGCUUCUCAGCCUCGCCCGGGGUGGGGAGGCAGAGCGGUGGCUCCUUGGGGUUGAUGACGACCACGGGGCCCGUCGUGGUUCUGCUUGGAGGAGCAGAGAGAGGCUGGGCUCAGGAGCCUCGUCCUCAGGACCAGGCGCGGGCAGCCGUGACCCUGUUGCUCGCGGGGUCGGGGUCUGCGUCCUGAGCCCAGGUCUCUUCACCGCACCCCAGAGGGGCCCAAUCCCCAGGGUCGG